GGGCAUUUUGAAAAAGCUCAUUUAGGAAUGAAAACGGACAGGUCUUGCGAUUAGCUUUCAAAACUUUCCUCACGUCAACCUCCUUAACCUUAAGGAAAUCAGAUAAGGUCGAUACAUGCUCAGCCCCUAUAGGUGGACCAAUUAACUCCGACACCAAAGGCUUUCCCAUGGCAACGCUGUAUUCUUCCAGGGUUGGAGUGAGCUCGUGGUCACCAAACAUGAAUGUGCAAGUCUCAGGACACCAGACAUGUGCCAAUGCUCAUACAACACCAUAAUGAGUUUCUAUUUCUAAGAGAGGAAGUAAUCGUCCGACAUAGGAUCGCACCCAAUCAUGGCCAGUCGGGUCUAUUCUAUCCCACCAAGUGUGAAGCUCGGCUUUCGGGGCAGCAAUGAUGUAAAGCUCA
This 404-nucleotide long non-coding RNA is filed under the name Eucalyptus grandis. Its description in RNAcentral is "long non-coding RNA (EGRA_LNC005017)". Lineage: Eukaryota; Viridiplantae; Streptophyta; Magnoliopsida; Myrtales; Myrtaceae. The record is from RNAcentral.